Molecule: RNA transcript, 1962 nt
Organism: Formica exsecta
Lineage: Eukaryota; Metazoa; Arthropoda; Insecta; Hymenoptera; Formicidae
Gene name: WD repeat domain-containing protein 83
Exons: 6
Source: RefSeq, a predicted model, not a curated record
ACUGAAUAUAAAAUUCGCAACUUCAGUUUGAUUUACGCUAUACAUAUAUCAUCUGUGAUUUACCCUCUCCCUCUUCUCGAAAUACAAUAACUGACAAGUUUUCAAAAGUCUCGAAAGACGCGGUAUAUUCAUAAUUUUUUAUCGAAUGAUGAUUGUAUUUAAGUUAGCCUUUAAAGAUGGAUAGUGAAUACUAUAAAUUCCUGAAAGAAAUCGAUUGCAAACAAGGGGCUGUCAGAUCUGUACGAUUUAGCGUUGACGGUUCUUACUGUAUAACAUGCGGAUCGGACAGAAAAAUAAAAUUAUGGAAUCCGUACAAAUCCGUUACAUUAAAAACGUAUGGUGGACAUGGUGACGAGGUUAUGGACGGCUGUGCGUCCUGUGAUAGCAGCCAAAUCGUAUCCUGUGGUUUGGAUAAAUCUGUAAUCCUUUGGGAUGUAGCAACUGGUACGCCUGUACGCCGUUUCAGAGGUCAUGCAGGUCCAGUUACAACAGUAAAAUUCAACGAAGAAUCAUCGAUGAUAAUCUCUGGUUCUCGUGAUAACAGCGUUAUGUGUUGGGAUGCACGUUCCAAAGCGCAAGAAGCAGUACAGUCACUGAAUGAUGCCAAAGAUUCUAUUUCGAGUAUAAGAGUUUCAGAUCACGAAAUCUUGUCUGCUUCUUUUGAUGGCAAAGUACGUACCUACGAUAUACGUAUAGGAGAACUAUGCGCAGAUUAUAUGGGAGAUCCAAUUACAUGCGCUAGUUUUACCAGAGAUGGCCAAUGUCUAAUCGUCAGUUGUGCAGAUGAUUCAAUUAGAUUGAUUGAUAAAGAUUCGGGAGAACUACUUGGUGAAUUUAAAGGUCAUACUGGAAAAGAUCUUUGUCUGGAAUCGAGCGUAGAUUGCCAAGAUACAAAAAUUCUUUCGGGCUCGGCGGAUGGAAAGUUAUGGAUUUGGGAUCUUGUAUCUCAGAAAGUGGUUGCAAAACUCUCGGGAAUUAAACCAACUAAGUAUGCUACUGUAUCCAUAAGUGUUCAUCCACAGAAGAAUUGCUUUUUAGCCUCCAAUGGAUCUAACGUGUUAAUGUGGAGUACCUCAUCUCAGACAGAUGAUGAGUAAUGAGAGCACGACGGUUCGCAGAACAGAGAGUGGGGAACCUGCGCGCGCAGGUGGCGCGAUGUCGGUACGUCAACACUCGGCGUGUCUCACUGGUCGGCGUAGUCUCGCCCGGGGAGCGCGAGAGAGAGGAGUUAAUGGCCGACUGAACGCGGCAGAGCGAAACAGCACAGAGCGCGAAAGAAACCGGCUGAAUCACGGUAGUGGAUUGAAGAACGCGGAGUACGAACUUAUUUCGUGACAUUCUCUGUCGCCGAUUACGCUGAAGCCCCUGGACGCAUCACAUGAUAAUCCGCCACUGCCGAAUCGACAUAGCGAGCAAGAAAGAUAGGGAAAAGAGGGAGAAGGACAGAUAUAUCUCGUGAGACCCGCGAAGGUGGCUGCAUACGGGGCGGGCCGGUCAGUCUCGCCACUUUGCGGAAUAUUUUUCUUGCCGCGCUGUAACCGUAAAAAAGAGAGUGAGUGACAGAAAGAGCAGAGACAAGCUUUGCCGGGAAAAUAUAGAGCGAACGAGAGAGAAAAAGAAUGGGUUUUCGGACUUUGCAGCUUCGCGAAUACUUAUGUAGAGCGAAAGCUACUUGACCGCGUGGUCUUGCGAGGUUCCAGCAGUGACCAUCUCGUCCGACAGUGGUGUGUAUUGUUAUUGUUGUUGAUCGAUAUUCACAAGAGGAAGAGAGACAGAAGAAAGAGAGAGAGAGAGAGGGAGGAAGCCGGCAAGAGGGCAAGCGAGAGACGGUGAGAAGAAACUCGUGAUACCGAGAGGUUGGCAACGGUGGUGGCGGCUGCUGCUGCAUACUGGGUGGUGGUGGUGCGCCCUGACACAGUGGUGGAACGAAGGCAGGAAGGACACGACCGUGAGAAGAAAGAG